Long non-coding RNA from Lethenteron reissneri (Far Eastern brook lamprey), 2452 nucleotides. RefSeq lists it as uncharacterized. The record is from RefSeq and is a predicted model, not a curated record. Lineage: Eukaryota; Metazoa; Chordata; Hyperoartia; Petromyzontiformes; Petromyzontidae.
GUGACUUUACCGAAAGAACCAAGAAUAUGAAUCCCUGCAGUCACGAAAGCUUUAAAUCCAAAACCAGGUUUUUGCUUAUGGAAUGGAAGUGUAAGAUCUGCAAGUCUUUGUCUGCCACAAAAGGAAAUCUACUAAAGCAUUACAGACAACACGCAAUAUUUGGUCGUGGCCAAUCCCAGCCAUGCCUAUAUGACAGUUGCCCUUGCACAUUUAAAACGCAGAGUGCCCUUCGUUACACAUUUGUCCAGAUACCAUUCAGAUGAAGAAAGUCUACGGUCAGGAAACAUCUCUGUUUUUAAGUGUUUAGUUUGCAAUGCUUUUUGUUCUAUAGAGAAGGACUACUUUCAGCAUAUUGGAAAUCAUCUGAAGAGCCACGAAACUGUCUUUUGUGUAUUUGAAGGAUGCAGCUUUCAGACAAAUAUAUACAAUACAUUUCUAAAACACAAAAGCAAAAGACACAAAUCCUAUUCUUUGAGUGAUUUUAAGAAAGAUGUGUAUGAGAGUCGCCAUAAUCAGACUGUUGACCAUUCUGAUUUACCAGAGGCCAAUGAUGGUGAGGGCACUAGUUUAGAUUGUGAUCAGGAAAGUGCAUCAUACAUAGUUCUUCAAAUUGGCUUACUUCUGCUGAAGCUAGAAACCAUCUAUAAUGCCUCAGUGAAGUGCAUUGAUGCCUUGGUUGAAGACCUUCAGUUCAUUUCAUCUUCAGUAUCAGUUGCAGUUGUUAGGAACAUACUAGAUUCAACAUUGAAGGUGAAUAAAUGUAUUGUUGACCAGGCCAUCGUAACUGAAUUGUCAGCAGUUGUGCAACUUCCAUCCCAUUAGUACAGCACUUGGAGCAGGUGGUCCACUUGGUUCGGCUUUUAAGAGAAGAAAGUAUUUUAAGGUGCAUUUCCAGUGUGUUGAUAGCGUUGAAUAUAUUAUUGAUACUGAAAAGAACAAGACCUUUCAAUAUGUGCCUAUUCUCCAGACUUUGCAGGAAGUCUUGAAGAAUGAAGACAUUGCAGAAAUAAUUUUAUCCAGAAAAUCAAAUAGUACUGGAUAUAUUAAGUCAAUUUUUGAUGGAAAAUCCUUCAAGCAAAAUGUAUUUUAUGCUGGGGAAGAAACAAGACUGUCUAUAAUCCUUUACGUUGACGACUUUGAAGUGUGUAACCCACUAGGAACUUCGAGAAAAAAAACACAAAAUAACAGCUGUUUAUUGGGUUUUGGCAAAUGUUCCAACAAAGUUGCAAUCUGCAUUAACGUCAAUACACCUAGCUUUACUUUGCAAAGCUGUUGAUGUCAAACAGUUUGAAUACAGAGCAGUUUUGGAACCACUCUUGAAGGAUCUUGUCAUUCUAGAACAGGAAGGGAUUUUCAUUUCCAGUGUUGGAAAAAAACAUUAAAGGGACAGUACAUUGUGUUGUAGCUGACAAUCUCGAUGCACAUUCUAUCAGUGGACUAGUUGAAUGUUUCACGGGGCCGUACAUCUGUAGAUUUUGUCUUGGACAUUCUUCAGAGUACCAGACACACGAAGUGCGGACCGGAGUGUUUCCACCUCGGACAAAGAAGGAACAUAGUUUGCAUGUGCAAACUGAGAGAAAAUCCAAAUGUUACUCAUUGCUUUGGCUUAAAGCGGUCGUGUCCAUUGACUGAUAAAUUAAAUCACUUUCAUUUUGAGUCUGGGUACCCACCAGAUGUACUACAUGACCUUUUGGAAGGCAUAGUCCCAAGGGAACUAGCAUUGUGUUUUCAGAUUUUCACCAAGAAGAAGUACUUCAGUUUGACUGAGCUUAACGAGUUAAUAACUGAGUCUGACUGUCAAAGUUCUGCGUUAUAGGCCUAUACAUCUGAUAGGCUAUCAGAGAAUGCACUGAUUUGUUAUUAAAAGCUAUCUUUAUUUUUGUUUAAUGUUUCUUGGGUGUUCUAACAUUGUGCUUUCUUCUGAUGUGACGCUGACCUAGGCCAUUGCAAGUGUUUGUUCUAAAGGAAUAGAUGUAAGAUGCAUAGAACAUCUGUAGGCUGUGCUAGUUUACUUGUUAGAAAGCCAUGCUUGUACUGUAAUUAUGCAUGUUAAAAAAGAUAGGUCCACCCGGAUUGUGGAUUAUGGCUACUAGUAUAAGUACAGGGAAUGCAAGUCAAUACCACGUGAUGUUUUAAUCUCUUUUAGCUGUUUGAAAAACAUAUUGGCGCUUAGGAUUUCAAUUUACGCAUAUAAAAAAGAAAUAAUAUGAAAGUUUUUUUACAGAUUUUUUUUAAAACAUUGUCGUAAUUUAAAUGUGCUAAAAAGACUAAACCUUGAAUCACAUCCAAAAAAGUAAUCUGUGCCUGUAAUGCCCACAAAUUAUAAAUACCUCCAGCAUUGUAUCCCUAUUGUACACAUACAUGAUUUCUGUCUUUGUUUUGUACUUGUAAUAUGUUGGAUAAACAUGUUGAGACAAAAUUGCACGAAUAAAUGUUAACCUGCUGUUCCUUU